AAAGAAAGAUUUGGGUUUGAAAAAUUAAACCAUGCAUGGCAUUGCACCCCAAUCUUAAUGUUUACUUUCAUAUUGUACUUUGGAAAACCCUUUUAAACUUGCUUUUCAAUUGCCAUAUAUUUUUUAUUUACAGCUGUUACUUUUCUACGCUGUUUUCCUGGUUUCUUUUCUUUUUUUUUUUUUUUGGUGAUGCAUGUCUCUCAGCUUUCACGUUGUGUGUCUUGAGCUAAACUGUGAUUAAUUGCAAAAGGGGUCCUUGCAUUGAAUGGUGAUGAUUGAAUGGAAGACUCUUUUGUCUCUCCCUCCACUCUUUGUAAAUGGGGGGGUGCAGGCAGGCAGCCACUAUGACAAAAGCUACAUAAAGAACAUGUUUGAGAACUGUAACAAACGCUCCCUCGAGAGUAGCCACCCGUAACCAUCCACCCAUCCCCUUUCACCUUUCUUUUAAUUCCAAUGGCAUCCAAAGAUAGUAUAAUUGUGAGUUGGAAAGCUAAAAACUGGGCCUCUGCACCACUCCACCUCUACCAACACAAACCUAUCUUUAUCUAUAUGUAUAUAUACCUUUACUCCAUUGUCUACAACAUACGACUCUAUAGGACUCACAUAUAUACGCAUUUCCAUGGCAUCAAGUAUUGAACGAACCUGCCAAAUAGAGAUAUGUGGCGGUCCAUGUUCAAAUAAUAAAGAGACAAAAUAUGGAUUUCAUCCGAGGUACAGAGUAAGGGGUACAUAUGUAUAUAUAUGAUCAAUAUAUAAUAUUUACACCUUUUUCUUUUUCUUUAACUCACCAACUGAUUACUGAGGUCCAAUGGGGACAACUUGGGUUUUUUUGAAGCGCCCAAUGGAGAGGAGAAAUAUGCAAGUGUCUUGAAUUCAGCAGUAAAUCAUAACCAUAUCUGAGAAAUUUGAGCAUAUCAUUCUAGCUUUUCAAGUCUUUUAACAAAAUGGGGGUCCGAUAUGAACUUUUACAGAGAACGCCACGAGGUUGUUUUUACAACGAAAAAUCCAUAUUUCAAAAGGCUCAACUUUAGGGGUCCUCCAAUUUUGUCAUUCCCAUGUUCUAAAGUAGAAAAUGCUCAACACUAACAAAAAAGAGUUGGUAAAAGAGCUAGAUUCUGCACCCUACCCUUACCCCCUCACUUUUCAUAUAUAGGGAGGUGAAAGAAAUUUUGGCUUUUGGGCUUAUACUUUGGAUUCCUCACUUUAAACAUCAUUUUU
This 1218-nucleotide long non-coding RNA is filed under the name Gossypium barbadense (sea-island cotton). RNAcentral's name for it is "long non-coding RNA (GBAR_LNC014485)". The record is from RNAcentral. Lineage: Eukaryota; Viridiplantae; Streptophyta; Magnoliopsida; Malvales; Malvaceae.